Ornithorhynchus anatinus (platypus) is the source of this 136-nucleotide small nucleolar RNA. The record is from RefSeq and is a predicted model, not a curated record. Lineage: Eukaryota; Metazoa; Chordata; Mammalia; Monotremata; Ornithorhynchidae.
GUCCUCAGGAUCGCAUCUGGAGAGUUUCCAGUGCUCUACCAGUCUCGGUUACGAUAGGGAGAGUCAAGCAGAGGCCUGUCCAUUCCAUUUCUAGCUUGGCCAGUGGCUAGUUAGUGGAAGGCCAUCUGCUACAACA